CGCCCCGCCCUACCUGGGCGGGGUUGGGACCUUUCUGGCACCUGCAUCGAAGCCGGCGGCAGGGUGGACUUCGUUGUCCCGGUCCCAGACUACCCUCCUCCACCGCCGCCUCCCACUGCAAAAGGGCCUAGAUAAGGAACCUAAUUCGAGCUAUCCUUCUCUGUGAAGUCCGACGGCUGAGAACGUCAGGGCUCGUUCCCAGGUCUCUUUCCAGAGGCUAAGCUUUAUGCGAGCAUGGGUUACCAGCGAUGCAUCCUCUGACAGGACUUCCACACCCAUGCUCCUCUCGGCACCUUUCACCCAGCCCAAGCAGCGGCGGCCCAGUGGUGGAAAAGGCGCCAUGGCCAAACGGAUUGGAGACUCACCCCACAUUCUAGGCCAGAGAAGCGGGCGGGCUUGGGAUGCCGGCAGGAGGCAAUGACUCUCCCCAGGCGCUGCAUCCUGGCUCCGGGGCACAGGCGCCUCUCCGCCCUGACGCUGAUGCUCGUCUGGCUGCCCGUUCUUUGGUAUCAAAAUACCAGACGAUGGUGGCGCACCCUGUGGCCUGGGCUGCCUCACAUCGUUCGGUCCCGCCCAGAAAGACCAGAGGACCAGAAAACCAGAAGACUGUCAGAGCGACUAGAAGCUGGCUCCUGCCAACAGCCGCGCGCCUCAGCCUCCACGAGGGUUACCUGGGUAACGCGCCGCUUGGGCUCGGCGCCCAGCCGAUGACGUAGCCCGCGCUUGCAUAGUGGCGCCGCCCGGAUGUGUGGGCUCCAGGCCGCCACCCCCAAACACCAGCCCAGCGGGUUUUGGACCCCUAGGCUGUGUGGCUACAGUGGAGUCCAGACUUGGCCGAAUCCAGGACGACCCGGCCAGACC
RNAcentral lists this non-coding RNA (861 nucleotides) under Pongo abelii (Sumatran orangutan). The record is from RNAcentral. Lineage: Eukaryota; Metazoa; Chordata; Mammalia; Primates; Hominidae.